Lepisosteus oculatus (spotted gar) is the source of this 2395-nucleotide non-coding RNA. NCBI's taxonomy places the organism in Eukaryota, Metazoa, Chordata, Actinopteri, Semionotiformes, Lepisosteidae. The record is from RefSeq and is a predicted model, not a curated record.
CCAGGCGUAUAAAUAAAGCGAACGCCCUUCUGAAGCCCUUUGUAUAACUGACUGAAUCCAUCAAGUUGUUUUAAAGAAAAUGUCUGUUUCGAGUGAUGUACAGUAUAGGUUCAGCACGCUAAUUCUGCGACAGUAGGUUCCUGCCUUAUUUGGAUAGGCUUCAGGAAAUGAUCGAGUAGGACUGAAACGAGAAAUGCAACCAAAAAUUACACAGCGAACCACUACGAUAAUCAAAUCCCAAUGCCCUUUACAUAUUGGAAAGUUCCCACUUGAUCUUCCAGAGAAGUGCCGAUUCUACCAGCUCAGACCAGCUCAGACCAGACCUACUCCACCACACAUCAGACCUUCGUGUGAAAUGACUGCUGGAACCAACCUUGUUUGCCAUUUCCAAGACUGAAGACCUCAGUCAAAGAAGCUCUUUAGUCGUCGUCUGUUGGGGUUCAUGAGAUGACAGCAUUUUCCAGGAGGAUGUUGUAAAGUUCCUGUCAUCCCAUUUGUUUCUGAAUGCCUUGGUGCCCAGCAGUGUUUUGUCACGAUACCUUGAAGGGAAACUCACUGAGGUCUCUGGACCAGCAUCUCUGACAAUGUCAGCAUCUUAUCACUGGGCUUGAACUCCACACUCCUGGUACAGAAACUCAAUGACAUCUCUCAGAGCACACGCAGCUACUGCAGCAGCCCGGGAACAAUAUACAGUACGAACAGAAAAGGGUCAAGAAGGGUGGAGGUACUGAAACAAACGUCCCCAACACAUACAUAAACUGGCGUGUCAGAGCAUGAAAUGUGAGGAAUGGAAGAAAAAAAACAUUUGCUGUUGAAGAAGUCAGAAAAAUCAGUGUUGGGUAAGUUUACUAUUUUAGUAAUUAGUCGUUAUUUUAUCUAAACGUGUUUUAUUUUAUCCAGUUUCAUCUUCUAAUCCUUUUCAGUAAGUAAAUGUAGCUUUUUCUUGUAGCUACAAUUAAGGGUCAUUAUAAAUAAUUGUUCCUUCAUAAAUGUUUUUUACUUACAAGCAGGGACCUUGGUUACACGGUUUACCUAGAAAAGGUCUAUACAUCCACAGGAACAUCCAGUGCUGUUGGGGUUUUUACAGAACGGACUGCCAGAUACGCAUUAAGAGGAUACCACAUGGUACUGUAUAGCGUCUGCAGGCAUACAGAUGGUUUCAGAACAUUUUGUUGACUUUAACAAAAAAACAAACAAACAAAUGCAUGCCUUUUCUAAUGUCAGGUCUUGCUUUUGCUUUGCUGUUAUAUUCUGACUUUUUAGUAUAUAAUAUUAACACCAAAUGUUUUCAGAAAACCUGUAUUACUGGCGGCAUCAACAUAGGACCAUGCAAGAGGAGGCCACUCGGCCCACUUGGUCGUUAGUGGUUAAUAGAUCUGAGGAUCCCAUCCAACCGUUUCUUCAAAGAAACCAGUGUAUCGGCUUCAACAACAUUUGUAAAUGUCAGUCAGCCACAAAAAAUAUGACCUUUCAUUUCUUUAGCCCAGAAAUCAUAUCUUUGAAAGAGCUUUUAUUUUCCAAGCACUAUGUUGGAAUAAGUAAAGUGCAUUUUUAGCCAACGAUAUGAGGAAGUUGCGUGUGAAGGCACUUUGGAAACUGACAGAUCAGGUGAUUUUGCUUUAGAAUGAUACUGUGAACAGAAAUGAAUAACAUAAGGAGAUGGAGCACAAUUUGCAGUCACUCAAUGGACUGUAGGGCAUGUACUCUUAAUGCUGUCAGGCCCCAAAAUGGACCAUUAACAACAUUGUUAAUCUUCUUCUUACAUUAGAAAACACGCAAUUUAAAAGAAAAUGUUUUAGCAUGAAUCAUUCUAACAUGAAAGUUGAAAUAAAAAAGACAUUUGAAAUGUAGCCCAUAUGCUAACAGAUUUGACUUAAAUAUAAAUAUAAGCUCGUAGCUUUCAUUCAGAAAAGAGCUCAAGUAUAGUAACUUAUGUAUAUGUUUUUCAUCUUACAGAUGAGACCUAUAUAAAAAUAACUUUUUCUACGUACAUGGUAUACAGUAUGUAUGUUUGAACAAAUGUUCAAAGAAGUCUUAUACUAGUAGGAAGUAGGGGUUAAUGUCAUGCUGGAAAGCAGAAAGAAAAAAAAACAUGACAUUUCAGCCCUGGAGCCUAACUCAGUUUUCUGUUUUUCUUCCCUCUGCUUUUCUGCGUGGAGUGAACCUCUACAGGCCUCACACUGGCAAAGUCUCCCGCUCGGACCCCUGGGUGGACCCGACCUUGUAGCUGAAUAGAUGAGAUCUACGGCCUUUGGUAGCUGUUUGGUUUUUUAAAAUGAUUUCAGCAAGACUGAUCACCUCCUUUCACCUAGCUGCUAUCUUGGGCGGGGCGGUGGCUCUGUGGCUCAGGAUCUGCGCCUGUGGCUGGAAGGUUGACAGUUUAUAUCUCUUGGCU